AUUAGCUCAGCGGAAGAGCGACGGCCUUCUAAGCCGGAUGCCGCAGGUUCGAAUCCUGCA
RNAcentral lists this transfer RNA (60 nucleotides) under uncultured Microbacterium sp. It matches the Rfam family "tRNA", at positions 7 to 64 of the family's 71-position model. From Rfam's summary of the family: Transfer RNA (tRNA) molecules are approximately 80 nucleotides in length. Their secondary structure includes four short double-helical elements and three loops (D, anti-codon, and T loops). Further hydrogen bonds mediate the characteristic L-shaped molecular structure. tRNAs have two regions of fundamental functional importance: the anti-codon, which is responsible for specific mRNA codon recognition, and the 3' end, to which the tRNAs corresponding amino acid is attached (by aminoacyl-tRNA synthetases). tRNAs cope with the degeneracy of the genetic code in two manners: having more than one tRNA (with a specific anti-codon) for a particular amino acid; and 'wobble' base-pairing, i.e. permitting non-standard base-pairing at the 3rd anti-codon position. Lineage: Bacteria; Bacillati; Actinomycetota; Actinomycetes; Micrococcales; Microbacteriaceae. The record is from RNAcentral.